AGAUUGAACGCUGGCGGCAUGCCUAACACAUGCAAGUCGAACGGGAGUAGCAAUACUCUAGUGGCGGACGGGUGAGGAAUACGUAGGAAUUUGCCCUUAAGUGGGGGAUAACCCGGGGAAACCCGGAUUAAUACCGCAUGACCUUGAAAGAGCAAAGUGGGGGAUCGCAAGACCUCACGCUUUUGGAGAAGCCUACGUCGGAUUAGCUAGUUGGUGAGGUAAUGGCUCACCAAGGCGACGAUCCGUAACUGGUCUGAGAGGAUGAUCAGUCACACCGGAACUGAGACACGGUCCGGACUCCUACGGGAGCAGCAGGUGGGGAAUAUUGGACAAGUGGGACGCAAGCCUGAUCCAGCAAUGCCGCGUGUGUGAAGAAGCCGUUGGUUGUAAAGCUACUUUAAGUAGGGUAAAGAAAAACUCGACUACUAACAC
RNAcentral lists this ribosomal RNA (432 nucleotides) under uncultured soil bacterium. Its description in RNAcentral is "bacterial SSU rRNA". It matches the Rfam family "Bacterial small subunit ribosomal RNA", at positions 26 to 477 of the family's 1533-position model. The record is from RNAcentral.